CCCGUCCGUGACUUGUACAUAACAAUCCAAGCAUCUCCUAAGCGUCUUUCUCCCCCUUCGUAAGGCCAUCGCGUCCACCAACGCACGUCUUACAUCCGCCCAGUACAGUGCCGUUGAAGCUGUGACGAGUAAUAUGAACGCUUAAGUAAUUUAUGAACAUCCGCUGCGUUUGCCUAGCAUUGUCGUAAAGGAGGUCGCGUCGGCAUCAGGCCAUCAACGUUGCGCCCAGGACAACACUUGCUGCAGCCAAGAAACAGAAAGUAUAUCUCUAUUCGUUCAUCCCCUUGGUCUUAGGGUUGCCCCUAAGACGACGUAGAUACCACCUCCUGACACCGCCGUACCGGAAAGCACUUUUCCGGUACGGGCAGAGCCAGCAGCAUUCCAGGUUCAGAAUUGAACCCAAAGGCAGAAAUCACCAUUCUGAGAGUUGAACGUCGCCAUCCAUGAUUUAGACAUACCAUUCCAUGGCCUGUGCAUGCGCGUCCGUGUCCUUCACUACGUUGCCAUCACGUCCACCAACGCACACUUGACAUCCGUCCUGUCCAGAGCCGUCGUCGCGAGCUUCGACAACAUGAAUGUAAGCAACAUUCGGAACAUCCGUCCUGUUUGCAUGGGAUUGUCGUCCUCCCGCCGGCGGAAAAGCCACUCAACGUAUUGCUUAAGAAUUCCUACCCAAGCCUAUAACACAAACAUAAUAACAUUGUCCUAGCAUUCCAUAGCCCUACUUGACUUGCCUACAAGUCCACAGAAACGAGUUGCCCCGGUCGGACCCUCCAAGUCUAGCCCAGUAGCUUACUGUGGGCUGACGUUAGUGAACAUGGAAUGCAAGCUGUGUGUGUGCUCAUCCCCUUUGAAAAAGGUU
RNAcentral lists this long non-coding RNA (862 nucleotides) under Volvox carteri. RNAcentral's name for it is "long non-coding RNA (VCAR_LNC004156)". Lineage: Eukaryota; Viridiplantae; Chlorophyta; Chlorophyceae; Chlamydomonadales; Volvocaceae. The record is from RNAcentral.